RNAcentral lists this long non-coding RNA (323 nucleotides) under Ananas comosus (pineapple). RNAcentral describes it as "long non-coding RNA (ACOM_LNC015751)". Lineage: Eukaryota; Viridiplantae; Streptophyta; Magnoliopsida; Poales; Bromeliaceae. The record is from RNAcentral.
GGGUGCAGCCGGCGUAGGAGGCGUUGCGGCAGCUGCGCUCGAGGUCUCGCACGGCCGGCGUGGGCGUGGCGUUGCGGAAACCCCCCAACGCCUCAUCCGCUGCUGCUGUUGCUGCUGGUGCACCAUUGGCGCCGUCGUGGAGGUGGAGGUCGAAGGCGGCGGGGCAGCGCAGGGAGGUGAUCUGGUGGAGGCGGAUCCCACAGAAGCAGAUCACGGCGUCGCACGUCGCGUUCGGCCGGGCCAGCCGGAUCUGCCGCCGCUCCAGCGCCCGCUCCAGCGCGUCCACGCACCGCUGGUUGUCGUCCGGCAUCAUCGGCCCCGCG